RNAcentral lists this long non-coding RNA (1356 nucleotides) under Callithrix jacchus (white-tufted-ear marmoset). RNAcentral's name for it is "lncRNA (ENSCJAG00000084932.1)". Lineage: Eukaryota; Metazoa; Chordata; Mammalia; Primates; Cebidae. The record is from RNAcentral.
CAGAACUUAGGGACACUUCCAGGGCAUUGCCAAGCACCCUGGGCUGAUUUGAUGUAUCCACCAUGCCUCUGCCCAAAGUCCACUCUUUUAUCAUGGACGGGGUCCCAGGCCUUGACACCUGACUCCCCACCCUAGAGUGGUGCCCACACACGGAUACACUGUCUGUAUUUGCAGAAAGAGUGGAUGCAGUGGGUCGCAGCUUGUGCUGGGCACCGUGAUAACGCACGGGACAGAGAGGAGGGUACCUUCCUGGGAAGCACAUCCAUGAAGAUGCUGCCAGACCAGUACAAUGGCCUGGGGGGUUCACCCUCUGAAGCCCACCAUGGCCCAUCACAGGCUGGAGCCCAGAGCUGGCCCCAAGCAGAGAGUGGACUUGAGGUGGAGGCUGAGUAAGUCACCCAAAGGCUGGCAGGGUUUGGGCAACGGGGCCAGGAGCUGAACGGGUGAUGAGCAGGGGAGGAGGAGGUGGGAUGACUCGGCCUGCCUUCCAGGAUUUACUGGGCACCUACUAUAUUCCCAGCCUUGCUGGGUUAUGGUAUGGGGGAGGCCAGGGGAGUGGAAGGUAAGGCCCUUGGCCUUGAGGACAGUGACCUCUUCUGUGAGAUCCGUGGCUGAGGAGAAAGCACGUAAGAACUGCCCACACUCUGGGGGUGCGCUGGUCCAUCCCCACAGCUACCUGCGAGAGAACUGCCUGUGCUUCAGCAUGUGGGCAUCCUGAGACCAGAGACUGCGUUGCCAUCCUGGAGAGACCAGGCACUGGGGAGAAGGUAGUAAGUGGUGAGUGGGUGACUGGAGAGAGGAGUGAACGGGUGGGUGAAGGUGUGGAUGGGUAGAUGGAUGGAUGGAUGGAUGGACAGAUGUGCGAGUGGAUGGAGGGACACGUGGAUAGACAGAUAGGUGGAUGGAUAGAUGGAUGCAUGGACGGAUAGACAGAUGGGAGAGUGGAUGGAGGCACACAUGGAUAGACAGAUUGGCGGAUGGAUGGAUGGACAAAUUGACAGAUGCACAUGGAAAGAUGGAUAAACAGAUGGGUGCAUGGAUAGACAGAUUAGCAAAUGGAUGGCUGGCUGGAUGAAUGGAUGGAUGGAUGGACAGAUGGAUGAACAGACAGAUGAAUGCAUGGAUAGACAGAUUGGCAGAUGGAUGGAUGGAUGGAUGGACAGAUGAAUAGAUAGAUGGAUAGAUGGAUGGAUGGACAGACAGAUGGGUGGACAGAUGGAUAGGUGAAUGGACAGAUGGACAGAUGCACAGACAGGGGGAUGGAUUGCCGUGGGCGCAUGAGUGAAUGACAGGGAAGGCUGGCUGGCUGGGUGGCUGCUGGUGGUGAGCGGGCACAUGUCGGCUGAUGGAUGUGUG